Molecule: ribosomal RNA, 696 nt
Filed under: uncultured bacterium
Lineage: Bacteria
Description: bacterial SSU rRNA
Rfam family: Bacterial small subunit ribosomal RNA
Source: RNAcentral
AACGCUAGCUACAGGCUUAACACAUGCAAGUCGAGGGGAAACGACAUCGAAAGCUUGCUUUUGAUGGGCGUCGACCGGCGCACGGGUGAGUAACGCGUAUCCAACCUGCCCAUCACUUGGGGAUAACCUUGCGAAAGUAAGACUAAUACCCAAUGAUAUCUCUAGAAGACAUCUGAGGGAGAUUAAAGAUUUAUCGGUGAUGGAUGGGGAUGCGUCUGAUUAGCUUGUUGGCGGGGUAACGGCCCACCAAGGCAACGAUCAGUAGGGGUUCUGAGAGGAAGGUCCCCCACAUUGGAACUGAGACACGGUCCAAACUCCUACGGGAGGCAGCAGUGAGGAAUAUUGGUCAAUGGGCGAGAGCCUGAACCAGCCAAGUAGCGUGCAGGAUGACGGCCCUAUGGGUUGUAAACUGCUUUUAUAAGGGAAUAAAGUGAGCCUCGUGAGGCUUUUUGCAUGUACCUUAUGAAUAAGGACCGGCUAAUUCCGUGCCAGCAGCCGCGGUAAUACGGAAGGUCCGGGCGUUAUCCGGAUUUAUUGGGUUUAAAGGGAGCGUAGGCCGGAGAUUAAGCGUGUUGUGAAAUGUAGAUGCUCAACAUCUGCACUGCAGCGCGAACUGUUUUCCUUGAGUACGCACAAAGUGGGCGGAAUUCGUGGUGUAGCGGUGAAAUGCUUAGAUAUCACGAAGAACUCCGAUUG